ACGUACACUCCUACGGGAGGCAGCAGUGAGGAAUAUUGGACAAUGGGUGGAAGCCUGAUCCAGCCAUCCCGCGUGCAGGAAGACGGCCCUAUGGGUUGUAAACUGCUUUUAUCUGGGGAUAAACCUACUUACGUGUAAGUAGCUGAAGGUACCAGAAGAAUAAGCACCGGCUAACUCCGUGCCAGCAGCCGCGGUAAUACGGGGGGUGCAAGCGUUAUCCGGAUUUAUUGGGUUUAAAGGGUCCGUAGGCGGACUGAUAAGUCAGUGGUGAAAUCCGACAGCUUAACUGUCGAACUGCCAUUGAUACUGUUAGUCUUGAGUAAGGUUGAAGUGGCUGGAAUAAGUAGUGUAGCGGUGAAAUGCAUAGAUAUUACUUAGAACACCAAUUGCGAAGGCAGGUCACUAAGUCUUAACUGACGCUGAUGGACGAAAGCGUGGGGAGCGAACAGGAUUAGAAACCCCUGUAGUCCCAUGAU
This 476-nucleotide ribosomal RNA is filed under the name uncultured organism. RNAcentral's name for it is "partial 16S ribosomal RNA". It matches the Rfam family "Bacterial small subunit ribosomal RNA", at positions 329 to 801 of the family's 1533-position model. The record is from RNAcentral.